Molecule: RNA transcript, 1903 nt
Organism: Trifolium pratense (red clover)
Lineage: Eukaryota; Viridiplantae; Streptophyta; Magnoliopsida; Fabales; Fabaceae
Gene name: disease resistance RPP8-like protein 3
Exons: 5
Source: RefSeq, a predicted model, not a curated record
GUGUAUCUGAUAUAUCUCUCUCCCAAUUAUCAAAAGAAAUUAAACCCAGCAACACCCACCCUCUCACCUUCACGAAGAACCAAAACCCAGCAACCUUCAAUUCGCACCCAAAACGCAGCAACCCAGCGUCGUCCUCACCUUCGCAAGAACCAGCGCCGUCCUCUCUCUCACUCGCAAUCGUCCUCUCUCUCACGAACCCUAACUCCAAAUCGAAGCUUCUCUUUCUUUCUCCGGCCUCUACUCUCACGAAUCGAAGCUUGUUUUUCUCUCUCACAUCGAUUCAGGUAUGGAUCGUAGUUGGAUGAAAGCUAGUAGAUUAAGUGCCGAGUUUGAAGCUGUCUUUGAAUGGAAAGAUCAAGAAGCUACCUGAUCCGCAUGAGUUCCCGCCGAAUCUGUUGAAAUUAACUUUACAUAAUUCCCACCUACAGAAGCAGUCUAUUGCCAAACUUGAGAGAUUGCCAAAACUUAAAAUGCUCAUUUUGGGUAAAAAGGCAUACAAUUGGACAGAGUUGAGCUUCAGUGCUGAAGGGUUUUCACAAUUGCACGUUUUGCGGCUCACUCUUUUGAAAGAACUGGAGGAAUGGAAAGUUGAGGAAAAGGCAAUGCCAAUGCUGGAGUAUAUUGUUAUUGAUCGGUGUGAGAAGCUGAGAAAGAUUCCAGAAGGACUGAAGGAUAUCACUUCUUUGAAGAAAAUUAAAAUUACAGGCAUGUCGGUAGAUUUUGAACAUAGACUUCGAACUAAAGAUUUGUUUGAGUUCAAAAAUACUCCAAUUAUAGAAUCGACAACAGACAUUUUAUCAAUUGAUUGAUUGCCGGCACAGUGUGUGCUUUUUUUGAAGUUGCCAGCGCAGUGUUGAUGGGUGAUAGGAACUUCCAUGGAGGAAUGGAAGCAUUUUCAAGUUCCGGCAUUCCACUGUACAGCAUGCACUCUUCAUUUUUUAUUUUGGCAAUGCAUUGUCAAAUACUUACGAGUCUUUCCACUUCUCCUAUGAUCAAAGGGUUUUACUCCCUUUUAUUAAUUGGGAAUGACUUGCAAUAAAAGGAUUGAUUUCUGGCACUGUUUUGGUGGGAGAUAGGAACUUUCGUCUAAGGAAUGGAAGCGUUUCCAAGUUCCCACACUCCAUUGUACAGAAUGUAAUCAUCAUUUUAUUUCGACAAUAUACACACUGCUCAUUGAUCAAAGGGUUUCAUUCCCUUUUAUUAAUUGGGAAUGACUUCCAAUAAAAGGGUUGUCAUAAUCUGUGGAACUCGUGUGAGUAUUGCAGUUUUCUAUAAUAGAGCAACAUCAGGUACAUUCCCUCAGAUUGAACACCUACGAAAAAUUUAAUGAAUCAUCUUUGCUCAGACAGAUAUCUCAAUUUUCUAUUUCUAGUUUAAGUUUUCAACACGUCCAGAUAAGGGUAGCAUAAUUGUGAUAGUGGCAACCUCUGCCUUUGCAUUUUGCUUUGACAUCAACUUUAACAGUUGCAAAGUUGCAAUUGCAAAUUUAAGUGCCGAGUUUGAACGGCGAGUGAUUGAAUUUAUUCGCAAUUUUAAGAUGUCGCCAAAGUAUAUGAAAGACUUGUUGGUGGGUGAUAAUUGGCUUGACUUUUCAAUUCUACAGCUUUGGUGCACGUAUAUGCAACGUCUUUCCAUAGACACAAAAAACUCAGAUCUGUUUGCAUUUUUGGACCCGGUUCAAUUGAGUUUUGCAUCAAAGCCAGUUUCACUUCAAAAGGCGGGUAAACAAUACAUUCAAAAUAAUUUGCGUGAUCUAAACAAAAUGUGCUACUUAGCACCACAUCUUUUGGAGUAAGCUCUUAUUUAAUCCUUUAGUUUUGAUUUACUUCACUUGCUAUUCAUUCUUUCAUCACCUCAUUACAAUGUUUUGAUUCACCUCAUUCUUUCACGUGUACAGCGGGCA